UCAACGAGCGCUUAAACGUCGAAAUAUCUCCAACGGGAAGGAAAUGACGGCUAGAUUUCACUAAUAUCGACGAAAUCUUCGCGAUUUGCGAGCUAUUUUGCUUGUUUCGACGCUUAAACGGUAGUGCCUUACAUUUGCAGUGUAAAACGGAGUGAAAUGAGCGCUUAAACGUCGAAAUAUCUCCAACGGGACGGAAAUUACGGCUAUUUUUCGUCAAAAUCGACGAAAUCUUCGCGAUUUGCGAGCUAUUUUGCUUGUUUCGUCGCUUAAACGGUAGUGCCUUACAUUUGCAGUGUAAAACGGAGUGAAAUGAGGGCUUAAACGUCGAACUCUCUCCAACGGGACGGAAAUUACGGCUAUUUUUCGACAAAAUCGACGAAAUCUUCGCGAUUUACGAGCUAUUUUGUGUCACAUCCCGCGCUCCGCACGCGCCGUAACGAGAACAAGAAAACUAUUUUAUACAAAACGCGCGAAUAAAGAUUUGAAGACACAAACGAACACACGGCGCCACGAAACUAAAGGAGGGAUUAACAAAGUGAGGGGCGACUAAUAAAUCCAAUCAGUAUAAAAUAAAAUAAAAUAAAUAAAACCAGCUAACGGAUUGAACGAGUUACGAACCAAACAAAUAAAUCAGGAAAUAAGAAUAACUACGGAAAGUGAAAUAAUUGAAACGCCAGAAAUACGAGUAUAUGUAAAUAUAUUUUAAUCAAUCAACUUGAAGGGUUACAUAUAAGUAUAAACAUAUAUGCUAGGCACGUAAUAAAUUAGUAAAUAUUAGAGUUAGCGCUUAUAAUACUAUGCAAUAAAUACAAUAUUAUCAAUUUAUGAAAUAUAAGUAUAUACAAAGUUGAAAACUAAUACAUACAAUAUUGUAUUAUUAAAGAAACAAAAGUUACAUUGUCAGAAACAUAUAUAUAUGUGUGCGCAUUCUAUUAAACAGAUACAUAUUUGAAACUAGCCUACGUUCCGGUAAAGAAUUAUAAAAUAAGAACUACAUUACGAAACAU
This is a long non-coding RNA of Bombus huntii, 1007 nucleotides long. RefSeq lists it as uncharacterized. The transcript has 2 exons. The record is from RefSeq and is a predicted model, not a curated record. Lineage: Eukaryota; Metazoa; Arthropoda; Insecta; Hymenoptera; Apidae.